UUCUGAACGUUGACCUCGGAUCAGGUAGGAAUACCCGCUGAACUUAA
RNAcentral lists this ribosomal RNA (47 nucleotides) under Pochonia chlamydosporia. RNAcentral's name for it is "partial 28S ribosomal RNA". The record is from RNAcentral. Lineage: Eukaryota; Fungi; Ascomycota; Sordariomycetes; Hypocreales; Clavicipitaceae.